UACAGAGGCGGCAAGCGUUGUUCGGAAUUAUUGGGCGUAAAGAGCACGUAGGCGGCUGUGUAAGUCGGUUGUGAAAGCCUUCCGCUCAACGGAAGAACGGCAUCCGAUACUGCAUGGCUUGAGUGUGGGAGGGGAGAGUGGAACUUCUGGUGGAGCGGUGAAAUGCGUAGAUAUCAGAAGGAACACCGGUGGCGAAGGCGACGCUCUGGUCCGCAACUGACGCUCAUGCACGAAAGCCAGGGGAGCGAAC
This 250-nucleotide ribosomal RNA is filed under the name uncultured bacterium. Its description in RNAcentral is "partial 16S ribosomal RNA". It matches the Rfam family "Bacterial small subunit ribosomal RNA", at positions 524 to 773 of the family's 1533-position model. The record is from RNAcentral.